Alexandromys fortis (reed vole) is the source of this 805-nucleotide long non-coding RNA. RefSeq lists it as uncharacterized. Lineage: Eukaryota; Metazoa; Chordata; Mammalia; Rodentia; Cricetidae. The record is from RefSeq and is a predicted model, not a curated record. The transcript is spliced from 2 exons.
UAUGGCUGGGCAGAGAGAGGUAUAUCAGGCAGGAGGAGACAAGAGCUCGUUGUAGUCUGAGGUUUGGUGGAGACCAUUGCAGUCCACAGUCACGCUGAGGACAGAACUGCCCCUUUGUUUGUCUGAACCUUGGGUAGAGUCAACUGAAGAAUGGCAUCACCCUGGAUGAAGAAACCAAACUGAAGACCAAAGAAGUCACGUCACUUGCUCUGGUCACACAGGCAGUGGAAGAAGCAGGCCCUGAGAUGAGUGAGGCCUUCUUCUACAUGGAACCACCAUAAGCCAUGCCUUCAUGAAGACCUGGCACCCUCCCUCCACGCUCCAGGAGAAGCCACGCUAGACCUGGCCUGCCAGUUCAUCUGACUUCUGCAGGUGGCUCACUGGAUUGGAAUAUGGUUGUGGCCUUGCAGUGGAUUAAACAAGGAACAAAUCUUGGACAUCCCUCCAUUGAGAAAGGAGGGGGGGUUCUGUUCACUCUUUGUAUCUGACAGGCUCAUUUGAUCCCUUGAAGUGUAUGUCACACAGAGGGAAAACACCUUGCGGGUUUGAGCUUGGGAUUUUGAAUAACAUCUUCUACAGAUUUGCCGCUAGAACCAGCCUUUAGGAAUGAGAAGGCAGGCCACACAACAGGCAUUGCCUGUUAGGUAUCUAAUAGCCAACUCGAAGAGAAGUUAGUAGAUUGAAUCCUGGGUAGGCAUCUGUGUUCAGUUACUUGAAGGAUUCUAAAUUAAAGAUUCCCAGUCAUUUUCCUCCCAAAUCCCUGAUCCCCAAAUUAUGAGCAAAAUAAAGAGUUUAUUUGAAGUUU